RNAcentral lists this long non-coding RNA (255 nucleotides) under Cairina moschata (Muscovy duck). RNAcentral describes it as "domestica (muscovy Duck (domestic type)) lncRNA (ENSCMMG00000003192.1)". Lineage: Eukaryota; Metazoa; Chordata; Aves; Anseriformes; Anatidae. The record is from RNAcentral.
UAGAGAUUCAUCAUUGCUCUGAUCUCAUGUGGAAGACUUCAACUGUCAAGUCCAUUCACCCCUCAACCCCAAAUUUUGUAAUGUGAGGUAACCCCCAGGUGAUGCGUGUGUGCAUGUCAAAACUAAUUUGGAGUCACUCCAAGUGCAUACUGGAGAAACUGACAGGAGACUUUGACCCUGUAUCUCUCCAAGAAAUAAUUUCCUAGAUGGAUACAAGUCCUGGUACCAAGACUCUUCAAAGCACUGGAGAUUUUC